CUAGUAUUUUGGUUGGUGUCUUACAGCUUUCGUAUAUUUUCCAAAUUCCUUUGUUCUCUCUUAGCUUUUAUAUGGUUUAAGUGCAGCAUUCACCAGUAAUAUAAAUCGUCAUUUUACAGAUUGGGAAAGAGUGGCAUCAGAAUGUUGAAGAUCUCUAGAUUUGAUCUAAAGUUGCCUGCAGAGCUUGUCCAGACUUGUGCUGCUCUGCGAGAAAGAGAGCUUGCCAAGUUUAUAGCAACCAAUAAUGAAGGUGAAUUCCAGCAUACCAUAGAAGUGAAGAGUGAAAAGGAGCACUUUGUCAACUUUGAACUAUCCAAUUUGGAGAUAACAUUUAAAGAUGGCAGAUUUGUGGCCCAGAUUGCCCAGGUUCUUAAAGUCUUUCAGGCGCCAGAACAGGAAUCUCAGCAGCAACAGCCUGCACCAUCACAACAACAGCCGAGUAAUGUUGGAACAGUAACCUCACGUGGUAGUUUUGAAAAGCAAUCGCCAAAUGUCACGCAUUCAAAUGAGAGACUUGUGUCCCCAACAUCUGGUCCAGAUGCCGUGAACUUGUUCAGAAACACACAGUAUAGAAAUUCAAAGGAAAUCUCAGCAUCUCAAAAUGUUUCUCAGACUACCAGCGUGCAACCAAGACAGAUGCCAAAUACAGGUGUCAACUCAAACACAGCCGAAGAAGAGGAUGAUGACAUAAUUGUAGUGAAAGAUGAAGAUAUGAUAUCAAGGAGGUCGAAAAAUGUAGCUGAAGUCACAAUUGAGCCCUCUGCUGCAGGAGAGCCCAGCUCCUCUCAGCCUUCGCAGAUAUACCCUUAUAGCUUAUCACAAGUGCAUUUGAAUGCACCAUCCACUAUCACAAGUAUGACAAACACAGAACAGUUAGUUCAACCUUCAACUUCUCAAGUGGGUUCUAACGUGCCACCUCCCCCAACCACACCAGGGCAAAUGUUUCUUCACAGAAAGAUGGCAAGGAUGCAGCAGAGAACUGUCAGUCACCCCCUGAUGAGGUCCAGGAAGAAACAUCUACAGAGAGAAACAAAAUCUUCCUGUCAGUACUGUGAUAUGUCAUUUUCAAGUAGUUUUGCGCUGAGGGCACACUUACGAGUUCAUAAAGGGAAUUUAUAUGAGUGUCUCCUGUGUAACAAACAGUUUGUGUAUAAACAGUCCUUGCUUAGGCAUGUUGAACGCAAUCACCAAAGCAACCAGGAAUGUGUUUGUUGUAUCUGUGGGAAUGUGCUGUCUUCUCCGGAUGUGAUAAAGGAUCACAUAGAAACAGUCCACAGAAAAGAGGCUGUCAGAUGUAACGUUUGCCAAGUAUACUUCACCAGAUCAACUUUGAGGAUUCAUAUGGCCAUGCAGCACAAAGAAUUUUCAUCAUGAUUUCACAUUUAAUGCUUAAAUGUAAAUGGUGCAUGAGGGUUGAGGUACCAACAUGGAACCUUCGAAAUCAUGGCCCUAUAUUUCUUGCUGCUAUUUUCUAAUGAUAGUUGAUGUUGUUGACAGUAUAUUGCAGUAUGUACCUGAAACAAAAAUAUAUUUACAUAUUACAAGGGCAAACAUACCCACCCACAGUUGAGAAGACCAUGGCCUGGAGAUUCG
Molecule: unclassified non-coding RNA, 1593 nt
Filed under: Lingula anatina
Lineage: Eukaryota; Metazoa; Brachiopoda; Lingulata; Lingulida; Lingulidae
Description: gastrula zinc finger protein XlCGF48.2, transcript variant X4
Source: RNAcentral